GGCGGUUCUCAGGUGAUGCACCCUGGAAUCAGGCUCCCUCCUCUCUGGUUCCGGGUGAGUUACCCGAGAACUACU
This is a non-coding RNA of Myotis davidii, 75 nucleotides long. The record is from Rfam. NCBI's taxonomy places the organism in Eukaryota, Metazoa, Chordata, Mammalia, Chiroptera, Vespertilionidae.